RNAcentral lists this ribosomal RNA (274 nucleotides) under uncultured bacterium. RNAcentral describes it as "partial 16S ribosomal RNA". It matches the Rfam family "Bacterial small subunit ribosomal RNA", at positions 523 to 796 of the family's 1533-position model. The record is from RNAcentral.
AUACGGAGGGUGCGAGCGUUAAUCGGAAUUACUGGGCGUAAAGCGUACGUAGGCAGUUGGUUAAGUUAGAUGUGAAAGCCCCGGGCUUAACCUGGGAACUGCAUUUAAAACUGGCGAACUAGAGUUGAGUAGAGGGGAGUGGAAUUUCAGGUGUAGCGGUGAAAUGCGUAGAGAUCUGAAGGAACACCAGUGGCGAAGGCGACUCCCUGGACUCGAACUGACGCUGAGGUACGAAAGCGUGGGUAGCAAACGGGAUUAGAAACCCUAGUAGUCC